This 9087-nucleotide unclassified non-coding RNA is filed under the name Leishmania donovani. RNAcentral's name for it is "gene:LdHU3.29.3340(CDS-product:cdc2-related_kinas e_10_putative)". Lineage: Eukaryota; Euglenozoa; Kinetoplastea; Trypanosomatida; Trypanosomatidae. The record is from RNAcentral.
CUGAAUUUUGCCUCGGGUUUCGUGUCGUGUGUACUCUCUUGAUUUCUCUGUGGCCAUUGAACCUCGCCCCGGAGGGAGAUCUAUGUUACGGAUGAACCGGAAUCAGGAAGAUAGCAUCCAGCCGGAGAGCAACAAAGAUGUGAUGGUCCACGCAAGAGCACAAUCUGUCACCAAGAGCGUUCAACACCGGCCUUCUCCACAUGAAAAUGAUGUAGACGGUGCAGCUGAUGCUCCGCCCCGCCGCGCGGCGGGGGCAAGGUCCCGAUCGCCGCCUUUGCCGUCGGCGCAGCAGCGCGGGUGCACCAGAGUCGAAAGUACAUCGUGCACGUACACCCUUCGGGAAGAGAUUGGGCGAGGUGAGUACGGUCGUGUGUUCCUAGCAGAUGCGACACCCCAUCAACUUCAACCGCAGCUUCCCCUGCAACACUCUCAGUCGGCAUCCUUCUUGCCGUCCCCUACAAGCGGGGUGGUUGUGGGGCUGGGGUCGAAAGGGCGCAGCGAACCGCGAAACGCCGGCGGUCGGCCUAGUCGCAUGGUUCUGAAGCGCAUGGACAACACCAGUGUCGAGGACGGGUUGCAGGCCGCCACGCUACGAGAAAUCAUGGUGCUGGACGAGGUGAGCGCCGGAACUUCCAACCGGGAUCGUGUGGAGCGGGACGCGUUUCGCCGUGGCCGGGCCGUGUUUCGGCCAGCCACGGCGGCGCCAUCCAACACGCACGUGCAGGAGGGUUUUCCUUCCUCGUUUGUGGACCACAACCGCUACUGCUCCGGCGGCGCCGCAGAGGAUGAGUGGGAUGACGCGGCUUUAUCCUCGUCCGGGCCGCUGCGCAUAGGCGCCUUGGACGCGCUGUCGGCUCAGCAGAGACGGCGCAUCAGCCGCGGGCGGCAGCAUCUCAUUGGGAUUCGGGACGCAAUACUGCGGCCGCGCGAGCAGCUCGCCUACGUGGUGAUGGAUUACUGCGAAGGCGGUGACCUGUGGCACUUCAUGCGGGAUUUGAAAGUCUCCGUGCGAUCCUCUUCGGGAAAGUUCGGUGAUAUAAUGUCGACGCGGGUGUUUCGGCGCUGGUCGGUCGAGCUGAUCUUGGCGCUGGGCUUUCUGCACUCGCACAACAUCGCCCAUCGCGACCUGAAGCCGCAGAAUUUGAUGCUCGCCAAGCGCACAGAUGCGAUACUCUCUUCAUCCUUUGCCGUUGACAGCGCCAACGGCAGCGAGUUGUGUGAUAUCGAGGGUGCGCCGGCCGGGGAGCUGUACACGUUGAAGGUUGGCGACUUUGGCCUCUCGCGGCUGGAGGGGAUCCCGUACAAAAAGUACGUGCACGAGGCAGUCACGCUUUGGUACCGCAGCCCAGAUGUACUUCUCGGAAACACAAACUACACCUACUCCGCAGACGCCUGGUCGCUGGGGUGCAUUCUAGUAGAAAUGGCCUCGGGCACUGUCCUCUUCAAGGGCAAGGACGAGGCAGACGAGCUGCGGCACAUUUUCACGCGCGGCUGCCGCCCGUCCCCCUCAAUCUUUCCACGAAUGCGGGACUACCAUUACUGCGAGCGAUACGCGGAGGUUCUGAACCGGUAUCAGGAGGCGGACACUGAGAACAUGACCUCGGAGGAGCUCAUGCAGAUGCAGCUGGAGCGCAUCAGCCGCCACCUGCGCGCGUUUCUGCGCGACCGUCACGCCCUCGAGCUGCUUGGCGAUGCAGGGGUUGACCUGGUUGCCCGGCUGCUGAUCCUCGAUCCGGAGCGCCGCCUUACCGUUCUGGAGGCGAUGAACCACCGCUUCUUCACGAACGCGUAUGCUGAGGUCUACGGCGCGGAUGGAUAGUCCCGGGUGGCUGCGCUUCAGGGGCUCACCGCUCCUUCCUCGCUCUUCUUCCUUACGUCCCUUUCCCACCCCCUCAGGUACUCGACCGCUCCAGCGAUGUGGCCCGGCAGGAGUCCUUCGACUCGGCACCGCUGCCACUACCUGCACAGCCUUCACGCGAUGCCAGCUGCAAUGAACCCACGCGGGCGCACCAUACGGAAGGAGGAGCGAAGUAACGCCCCCCCCCCCCCACACACCCGCCCCGCACCGCCCACACACACGAAAAAAAAAUGGAGAGACUUCGGCAGUGGAGGAGGUGCAAGCAGAAGACCUGAAAAGGCGGAGGGAGGAAUGCAAGGACAACAGGAGAGCACAGCGAUGCAGCGAGAGAAGGGCCGCCGCCGCAGCAUGGCGAGCAGGCGACGGGGGAGGAAGGGAUGCCCGACCCACAGAUGCGAAAGGCGGAAAGCAACGAGGCUACAAUGCUAAGCAGGGCUAGAGCAUCGAUACCGGUAUCGACGGAGAGAUGAAAGGUGAAGGCAGCCAACAGCAAAGCGGGCACUCGAUGCUCGAAGGGGUCUAUUGGAGGGGGGGCGUGUCCAUGUGCCAUUUGGAGAGGCGCAUGCGUGAGCUACUGGGCGAUGAGGCAGUGAAGGAGAAAGGACGUUGUGCUUAAUGGUCUAAUCCCAGUGGCGUCUCUCCUGCUGAUUGUUGCGCCACGAUUGUUCCUCUUGGACUGUCUUCCUCCCUUCUACUUCCCUCUGUCUUUCUAUGUCCCUUUUUCUUGAAAAAAAAAAGCAUCAACAGGAAGAGAGGGUGAGCGUUUUUUUUUUCUUGCUAAAGAGCACGGAUGUGAUGGUGUGUGUGUGUGCCUGUGGGAUGGAGCCAUCGAAGUAAAAUGUGUUCCACAUUCCGUGUCAUCGAGUGCCUCUUCUUCCUUCUUUCCCUUUUACGUAUCCCUUUCCGUUUUUUUGUGUGUGUGAGCGUGUUCGUGUUGGAGCGCUUUUCUCUCCGUCUUUGCUCAUGUGUUUAGCAGCGGAAGGAGGGAGGUAGAGAGGGAAGGGGGAGCGCGUGUGUGCGCAGAUGUCUGCCGGCGCUUGUGUCUGUGUGCCCUGCGGCUAUGGGGGCGAUCAUGGUGUAUCUGAUCACGCUUUGUUUUUAUCAUUCUUGUUGCUCUGCAGAGGUCACUGUUCACGUUUUGACCCCUCCUUCCUUCCCUCCCUCACCUCGUUCUCUGUUUCCCGUUUUGUUUUGAUUGUUCUUUGACGUGGUUGCGCCCCUUCCGCUGCAUGCCUUUGCGCGUGUGUAUAUCCGUGCGUGUGGAGGUGAAAAGGCUGCUGAACGGUUGGGUAGGGGGUUUGGGGAGAAUGUACUACAGCCGAUCUGCUUGAGGCGUUGCCAACCUCUUCCUUCACUAUCCACCUCAACUCUCGCCUUUUUGUUUCUACACGUGGGUGACAUUUUUGUGCUCGCCCCUUUUCCUUUCUUUUUCGAGGGGGAGGUAUGUUCUCUUGCUGACAGCGCGUCGCUGCCCUCUGCCACCCAUCACAUCUCUUUUAUAUCUACCUCCCUUAUCAUCAUUGCCAAACAUCAUUUUCACCGUAGUUUUCUUCUGAAUGUCGCGUUUACGUCUCCGUGUGCGCGCUUCCUUCUCUCCCCUCCCCUCCUCUUUGGUCUUCUGUGUCAUCCCACACGUUUGGAUUUCCGCGCGGUCGUUGCUGUUGGUGGUAUUUUAUUUUGCCGUUUCCUUUCUCUGUACCUUCUCUCAGUGUUUUCAUCUCUCCCAGCCCGUUCCUCUCGUCUCCUUUCACAGACAUAUGGGUGAGUAUGCGUGCUUUCUCCCGUUCUCCCUCCUGGCUGCGUCUUCCCUCUUUACCGGAAGUAAUUGUAUCCUUCCGUCUCACGGGGAAAGGGGGAAGCGCAGCGACUGAGUUUGAGGCGUUCGUUCACGCCCGCCACCCCCACCUCUCAGCCAGCUCCUUCCUCCUUCUCUCAUCGGUGAUCAUCGAGCAUACGAUCGCGCUCACAGACACUGGAACACACACACACACAUACGCCAUCGAUUCCCAUAUCAUCGCCCCUCUCUUUUUCUUUCUCUUCCCCCCACCCACCCACCCUCUUCGCCCGUCUUCUCGAUCUCUUCUCUCUGCUGGACUAUUUUUGUGUUCUCAUCCCUGUAUUCCCUCUCUGUUUCUCACCACCUCCUCUCUCUCCUCUCCGCCUCUCAGAACCCUUUCGUUGGGCAACCGGAUCUACCACUCUUUCCCUUGCCGCCCUUCCUUUCUCGCCUUCCUGCGACGGCUGUUGUGAGGCGCAUUGAUGUCCAAUCUUUCCUCUUGUUUGUUGCUUUACGCUUGCGUUUUGUCAUCGAUUUACACAUUCCCUUUUCUUUUUCUGUCUUUUCGCUUUUCAUUCCGAUGUGCCAAGUGGACGGGGUUGGCUUCUUCCCUGUGUUUCUCAUCACGUCUCCGUCUCGCCUCAUCCCUCCACCGGCUGACCUGCCUCCUAACAACUGUCGGAGCGCCUCCGUAUUGUCCUUCCUCCCCUUCCUUGCGUUGUACCUGUUCUCUUUUCUGCCUGUUUCUCUGGGGAAGAGGGUUCACCUCCUUGUUCGGUAGGCCCUCUAAUCCAUUUGUGUUCUUCCUUUGGUGGCAGGGGAACACUUCCGCGCGUGCGCUGUCAUGGAUCCAGGUACCCCCCUCCCACUCUCUGUGGAGAGGGAGGAUAUCAGACCGCUUCACCACUAUGCAUGUCGGCGGUCAGGCUGUGGACAUUGUUGCGCUGGAGAGGCCAGCGACGGUGCGCACGCUUCUGCCAUCCACGUGAUAGGCGACGUGUCCGCGUGACUCGAACGUAUCCCACACGGCCCUCGCACUGCCUGCUGGUGUGGGGAGCCUGAGUGCCACCCCGAAGGAUGCCCCGGACAGGGACCGGCACAAUGGGUGGCGCGGCUGCGAGGCGACCGGCUAAGCGGCGGUGAUGGGUGGAGCCUGGCGCAGGGGGCCGUGCUCCGAUGACGGAGUCGGCGCACUCUCUAGCGCGUGUGUCCACGGCUGCUUCGCACCGCGCGGUGGGGUCUGUGGCAGGCCGGGGGCGGGUGGAUGGCGUUUCAUUCUUGUCGUAUGGCAAACAUGGUGGACAUGUUGUAAAAGCUACCCCCUACUGAUGCUUCUCCCGCUCAGGCCUCGCACACCAUAGACUUGGUUACGCUUGUGUGUUGGCCUCUGUUGGUAUGCAUUUGUUUCGAGCAUCGAUAUCCUCUCCCAGAAGGAACGGCAAACCAACGCAAUAAUGAUAAACACACACAAACAUACAGACACACGUGAAAUAAAGGGAAGGCGUAGCGGAUGUGAACGAGGCGUCCACGGCAGAGGCCGCCAGCCGCAGGUGUUGGUUUAUUUUUCCCCCGUGCGUUUUCGCGGCGCACCAGUGCUUUAUGUGAAAUGGAAGGCUCGCAGCGGUGAUGCGCGCUUUAACGGAUUUGUGCUUGAGCGCUUUUCUCAGCUUUUUCUUCUUCGACUCAUCGUCUGCUCUCAGCCUCUUCGCGCUUUCUCCGUAUGAGGAAGGGGGCUAAUCGUUGGCGCGGCGGUGGCUGUGGUGCAACGGGCCGCCGCAACAUCAACGGGUGAUCCCCCGCACAACUGUGAGAAUCAUCUUUGUUUAGUUGGGCUCAUUUUCUUUGUUGUGCUUGCCGCUGUCAUCUACGUCGUACGCUUUAUUUCAUGGCUCGAUGCUUGCACCAUCAAGGGAGAUGGGACGAUAUCACAGAUGAUGUAGACACAGCCAGGCAAGAGCACACGCACGUAUACCAGCAGCCCCCUCCCUCAAUACACGCGCACAAGCGAACAGAAGAAUAAGAAUCCUACACCUGCUCUUUGGAGGUCUUUCUGUUGAUGCCGUUCUUUUUUUUUUCGCGUGACUGCGUAUGUGUCAGCAUCUUCGUCUCCACAUGUCGUUACACGCUCCAGCUGCCUCUUUUCUCCGUUGUUUCCUUGUCUCGGGCACAAAUAAGUGCCAAGCGCUGCAUGUGCGUAUUUAUGUCUGUUUAAGGUUUUGCCUUUCUCUUUUUUCUUUGUUUGCGUCUUGUGUGAGUCCGUGUGUAUGUGUGUGCCGCCGGAUAUUGCAGCACUGCUGCCUCGUCCUUCGAGUAUGCCCCCUUCGUCCCCCCUCCCCUUUUUACCCUGCCUCACAUGAUUGAGGAGAAUGGCGGCGUGUUGGUGAUGCUGGACGACACACACUUUUUUUUUGUUCUUUAAUGUUAUUGCUAUUAUUAUUUCACCUCUGUUGGCUCUCGGUUUCUCUCUCAUCCCUUUCUCGGGAGGCACUUGCGUGCCAUUUCCGACUUUGCCGCUGCACACCGUAUAAUCGCUUUUGUUUUCCCUGCUUCAGUCCUUUGUUCGGCCUUCGUCGGUCUCGACGCCCUCCCUGGCGCGCCGAGACCUCCUCCUUCCCUCUCCUUUUUUUUUUCCUUCUUUGGCCACCAAUCGGAAUGCGUCAAGGGAUUUUCACUCUGUGCAUAUGUGCGCCUGUCUUGCGUGUGUGUGUGUGUGUGUCGUGCAAAGUCAGUUACGUUUUCGUCAUUUUCGUUGGCCUCGAGUGUGUGCCGGGGGCCUUGGCAAAGAGCCGAGAAAGCGGGGAAAAGAAAGCGCUACUCAGAGCGGGACGGGCGGAAGUACGACUGAGCAGUGAGUAAGGAGCAGGGUAAGAGAGAGGGUAGAGGGAGGGUGGGAAGAUGAAUGAGGCAUGCAACUGGAAGAGAGAGACAGAACAAAUUUAAGGCAGUGAUGCCAGCUUGUUGCACACGCAUGUUGUGGUCUCAAGGGGAAGAACAGAGCGAGAGGCGGGGAAAGGGUGACCACAGGCUUGCUGGUUCUCUCGUCCCUACAGUUCAACGAAAAAUGUUUUUUCCCUUUUUUUCGCUGUUCUGUGGAGUCCGCAUAGCCGUGGUUGAGGAAUCAUGAGCAUGAAUGUGCGUGUGUCUUGACUGUCCAGUAGUCCGUGUUCCCAAUGCGGGUAGCACGCUUUCCUCCUUUACUCUUUCCCGUCCGACACUCAUCACAGCGUCCGCCCCUUUGCCGGCCUACUGAGACCUUUCUUUCGCCUUCGCGGCAGUCUUUCGACCCCUCCCCCUCUCCGUCUUAUCUCCUCCACUUUCCCAUCGCCCUCCCUUCAUCUCUCGGCGCGUGCGACUCUCCUGCUACCUGCUGUGUAUGUGCAUUGAUCAGCGGCCCCCCUUCUCCUCUUCCUGCUUUGCUGCUUUUCCUUAUCUUGUGCUUCCUCUUUUUGUGUUGGCGUGUGGUCUCUCUCUUCGUUCUUCUUUGGUGCGAGUGCACGCUGGUUUUGCGCAGGUCACGGCACUCGCCUCCCCUCUCCCUCUUUUCCCCUCCUUCUCCCCUGCUUCUCUCUCGUUGGAUAUCUUUAUCCUUCCUAAGCUAUUGUUUCUGAACAAGGCGGUAGUACCAGCAGAACGUUGACUCCUUCUCCGCUUGCCUUUUCCCUUCCGUUGCCCCUCCUGCGUCUCUACACACGUCCUUGCUCACUCGCACUCCGGUAUGGACGCUCGGAUCCUCUUCCCUUCUCCAUUUUUUUCUUUUCGUGUGCGUCGGUGUGUGUGUGUGUGUGUCUGUGUUGCUCUUCAUUGCUGAUGCGGAUGUUUGUGUACGCCACCUGUCAUCCGCGUACGCCGUGUAUCGCUUCUCCUCCGGUACCGUGUGCCCCCUUCCCUUAUUCUUCUCGACGACUUUGUGUGCGACGCACUAGAACCCAUGGAGACCGCAGAGCGAAAAAGAGGCUGGGACAACCCCGUCGUUUUGUCUCACACAUUGGCCGACGUGCCCCCGCCUCGUUUUAAUUGGCUCCUCGUUCUCUCCUACCCAUUCAGUGAAAGAGGAAGUGCAGGAUCGAGAGCCGUGCGUGUGCGUGCUCCUGCCUUAGAGGAGAAGGGGAUCUGGUGGCGUCGGGAAAGCCAAGCAGAGAAAAAAUGCAGAAGAGGUAGACACCCAACGACGUGAAUGCCAGCUGCUUCAUCCUGAUCCCGCCCCUACUUCCCUCCCCUUCUGUGUGUGUGUGUGUGUGUAUGUUUCUUCUUUUUCCAUCUUCAUUCUGUUUACUCUGUCUUCUUCUGCCAUGUGGUGCGCAUGCGCGUGUGUGCCGUUGUUCUCCUUUUUUUUUUCGCUCGCUGUUCGCUUGUUCUUUGCGCUCCUAUGUCACCUAACUUGCUCCGCCGUUCUUUUAUUGUUCUCCGCCUCUGACCUCCUUUCCGCUCCUUCUUUGGUGUGGAGUGUACGCUGUUAUGUGAUGUUUGAUGUCUGUUUUGUGUACGCCUGCAGUGCCUGCGUUCUUGUACCUCUUUGACACCUUCUCAGUCACCUACCUAUGUGCGUGUGGCUCACCUUCGUUCUUUCCCUUUCCUUCAUCCCAUGGUUGUUUUGCUCGCUUUUGGGGGGUUUCAGGUUUUCUUCUCUGUGUCUGAUUGUGUUGUCUGCCCCAAUUCCUGCCCACCAUGUUUUUGGGCAACGAAAUGGGGGUAGCUUGUGUCUGCGCUGUCUUGUGCCCUUUUAUUAUUACUAUUGCUGGUAAAACAUGCACCGACGCAUCCGCAUAUGUCGGUGUCGGUGUUGGGUGCUGAGAGCCAUGGCCCUCCGUUCUGCUUGUCUAUCCCUUUUCCUUUACUGCUUCGGUUUCUGUUUCUGCGUUUGAUGGAGCCUGAGUGCGUGUGCGCGUGUGGUGGUUAAGUAAGUGGGCUGUACAAAACAGAAACGUGCGAAGCGGUGGAGAGGUGAGGGCGAGCAAAACCACACCUCUCCCUUCUCCCUUGUUCCCUUGUGCAAGCGCCUCCUUUCGGAGGAGCCUGCACACCCACCCGCGCACUUCUCACGUGCAGCUACUGUCACUUACCUCCCUGCUGAUGCCAGUGGCGAGAAGCAACCGGACAGAGCGGCACGCCCCUCAUUUUACGAGGGCCAUGACAGGCUGCCUAUCCGCUCCUCGUCCAGGGGAGCGCUUUUUGGGCCUGGGUGUAGGUGCUUGUGCAGUGCUCUCCUCCGCAUGAUGCCUGGGGAGUCGUAUCGACGCACACGUCCUUGCACCCCACCCGUCCCCUGGGUGAUCAGCCCACCACCUUACACGUCUCAACGUUUUUUCUCCGUUCUCUUCGAUCUCAUUCUUGUCUGUCUCUCUCCCUCCUUCUCCUCUUUUUCGCACUUGCUGGCGAUUUCUUCAAAUGUGGUGCGCGCCUCGCGCCGCUUGGAUGUGCAACGCACUACGUGCAAUCCCAUCAACAUGCGGAG